Molecule: long non-coding RNA, 577 nt
Organism: Hermetia illucens (black soldier fly)
Lineage: Eukaryota; Metazoa; Arthropoda; Insecta; Diptera; Stratiomyidae
Exons: 2
Source: RefSeq, a predicted model, not a curated record
CGGCGGGCCAACAUGUUGAGGUGUGACUUUUACCGCUGGCAUGGCUCAGUGAAAAAAUUCCGGGACAGGUAUGUCACAGGUACCAGACUCUGUCGAAGGCACGCGCUUCUUAUUCACUUGUUUACCCAAAAAAAAUGCGGGACGCUGUACGGGAGAGUCAGAGUGACUAUCGCGAAUUUUUGUUGAACAGACGGGAUGUCACCAGAAAUAAGUUUUUUUCCAACGUCGUUGUUGACAGAGGGGCUGUUUUUUGGCAAUGGGAUCGUGAUAACGUGAAACACAAUGGAAUGGUUAUCGGAAAACUACAUUAAUCGCUUUUCUUUGUAGUUUAAUUUUUAACAAUAAAUUUGUGUCAAUUUCGUCAAAACACAAUUGUAUUGGAUAAUCUGCAAGACAACAAUAGCUAAUGGCUGUACUGUACUUUUAGUUUCAAGUGACGACAAUGUGCAAAAUCUAAAGAAUGCACAAAAUCUGGUCUGGAUUACUAGAAGAGGUAAAAAUGGGACGUGUCAAUAUACAGAAGCGAAGUAGUGUUAUUAGGUAUUCUCAGUAAUAUAGUAAAUGGAUUAAAUUUUUA